UGCAAGUCGAACGAUGAUCCCAGCUUGCUGGGGGAUUAGUGGCGAACGGGUGAGUAACACGUGAGUAACCUGCCCUUGACUCUGGGAUAAGCCUGGGAAACUGGGUCUAAUACCGGAUAUGACUCCUCAUCGCAUGGUGGGGGGUGGAAAGCUUUUGUGGUUUUGGAUGGACUCGCGGCCUAUCAGCUUGUUGGUGGGGUAAUGGCCUACCAAGGCGACGACGGGUAGCCGGCCUGAGAGGGUGACCGGCCACACUGGGACUGAGACACGGCCCAGACUCCUACGGGAGGCAGCAGUGGGGAAUAUUGCACAAUGGGCGCAAGCCUGAUGCAGCGACGCCGCGUGAGGGAUGACGGCCUUCGGGUUGUAAACCUCUUUCAGUAGGGAAGAAGCGUAAGUGACGGUACCUGCAGAAGAAGCGCCGGCUAACUACGUGCCAGCAGCCGCGGUAAUACGUAGGGCGCAAGCGUUAUCCGGAAUUAUUGGGCGUAAAGAGCUCGUAGGCGGUUUGUCGCGUCUGCUGUGAAAGACCGGGGCUCAACUCCGGUUCUGCAGUGGGUACGGGCAGACUAGAGUGCAGUAGGGGAGACUGGAAUUCCUGGUGUAGCGGUGAAAUGCGCAGAUAUCAGGAGGAACACCGAUGGCGAAGGCAGGUCUCUGGGCUGUAACUGACGCUGAGGAGCGAAAGCAUGGGGAGCGAACAGGAUUAGAUACCCUGGUAGUCCAUGCCGUAAACGUUGGGCACUAGGUGUGGGGGACAUUCCACGUUUUUCCGCGCCGUAGCUAACGCAUUAAGUGCC
Molecule: ribosomal RNA, 800 nt
Filed under: Paenarthrobacter nicotinovorans
Lineage: Bacteria; Bacillati; Actinomycetota; Actinomycetes; Micrococcales; Micrococcaceae
Description: bacterial SSU rRNA
Rfam family: Bacterial small subunit ribosomal RNA
Source: RNAcentral